This 320-nucleotide ribosomal RNA is filed under the name uncultured bacterium. RNAcentral describes it as "bacterial SSU rRNA". It matches the Rfam family "Bacterial small subunit ribosomal RNA", at positions 470 to 789 of the family's 1533-position model. The record is from RNAcentral.
CGACGGUACCUGACUAAGAAGCCCCGGCUAACUACGUGCCAGCAGCCGCGGUAAUACGUAGGGGGCAAGCGUUAUCCGGAUUUACUGGGUGUAAAGGGAGCGCAGACGGCAUCACAAGUCAGAAGUGAAACUCCGGGGCUCAACCCCGGAACUGCUUUUGAAACUGUGGAGCUAGAGUGCAGGAGAGGUAAGCGGAAUUCCUAGUGUAGCGGUGAAAUGCGUAGAUAUUAGGAGGAACACCAGUGGCGAAGGCGGCUUACUGGACUGUAACUGACGUUCAGGCUCGAAAGCGUGGGGAGCAAACAGGAUUAGAUACCCUG